RNAcentral lists this ribosomal RNA (365 nucleotides) under Serratia quinivorans. Its description in RNAcentral is "bacterial SSU rRNA". It matches the Rfam family "Bacterial small subunit ribosomal RNA", at positions 1165 to 1533 of the family's 1533-position model. The record is from RNAcentral. Lineage: Bacteria; Pseudomonadati; Pseudomonadota; Gammaproteobacteria; Enterobacterales; Yersiniaceae.
GGAGGAAGGUGGGGAUGACGUCAAUCAUCAUGGCCCUUACGAGUAGGGCUACACACGUGCUACAAUGGCGUAUACAAAGAGAAGCGAACUCGCGAGAGCAAGCGGACCUCAUAAAGUACGUCGUAGUCCGGAUCGGAGUCUGCAACUCGACUCCGUGAAGUCGGAAUCGCUAGUAAUCGUAGAUCAGAAUGCUACGGUGAAUACGUUCCCGGCCUUGUACACACCGCCGUCACACAUGGGAGUGGGUUGCAAAAGAAGUAGGUAGCUUAACCUUCGGGAGGGCGCUUACCACUUUGUGAUUCAUGACUGGGGUGAAGUCGUAACAAGGUACCGUAGGGAACCUGCGGUUGGAUCACCUCCUUACC